GGAGAUAUAGCUCAAAUGGUAGAGCGUUCGCUUUGCAUGCGAGGGGCAUAGGGUUUGAACCCCCACUCUCCA
Molecule: transfer RNA, 72 nt
Filed under: Olea europaea subsp. europaea
Lineage: Eukaryota; Viridiplantae; Streptophyta; Magnoliopsida; Lamiales; Oleaceae
Rfam family: tRNA
About the family: Transfer RNA (tRNA) molecules are approximately 80 nucleotides in length. Their secondary structure includes four short double-helical elements and three loops (D, anti-codon, and T loops). Further hydrogen bonds mediate the characteristic L-shaped molecular structure. tRNAs have two regions of fundamental functional importance: the anti-codon, which is responsible for specific mRNA codon recognition, and the 3' end, to which the tRNAs corresponding amino acid is attached (by aminoacyl-tRNA synthetases). tRNAs cope with the degeneracy of the genetic code in two manners: having more than one tRNA (with a specific anti-codon) for a particular amino acid; and 'wobble' base-pairing, i.e. permitting non-standard base-pairing at the 3rd anti-codon position.
Source: Rfam by way of RNAcentral